This 353-nucleotide long non-coding RNA is filed under the name Hordeum vulgare. RNAcentral describes it as "long non-coding RNA (HVUL_LNC018030)". The record is from RNAcentral. Lineage: Eukaryota; Viridiplantae; Streptophyta; Magnoliopsida; Poales; Poaceae.
GUGCUCGGGAUGACUCGGAGAGGUGCCGGUGGAGGCGGGGCGAAACAGGCUACAGGCUCCGGCCGUGGCAAGCCACAACGGUGGAUGCAGGCGCGGGCGCGCGAAUCCGUGUCUGUAUCUUCUCCUGCGUUUGUGGCUUCCUCCCUUCUUUAAAUCUCUUCCCUUUUAAUUGAUCUGUUGAUAGGUGAGGUGAUGUGUACUAGAUGUAGUACUCCGUAGAUGGAUUUCUCCCAUAGAAAAUUUGUACUAGUUGGUGUUGGUGGUCUUUGCAGAAUCGUACGUGAUCCCAAACACCAGCAACAGGGGAGGCGUGUGCUGCGGAUAGUGAUGCAAAUUCUGCGGAACUGAGGACG